UCUUAGUGGCGCAGCUAACGCACUAAGUUGACCGCCUGGGGAGUACGGCCGCAAGGUUAAAACUCAAAUGAAUUGACGGGGGCCCGCACAAGCGGUGGAGCAUGUGGUUUAAUUCGACGCAACGCGAAGAACCUUACCUGGCCUUGACAUGCAGAGAACUUUCCAGAGAUGGAUUGGUGCCUUCGGGAACUCUGACACAGGUGCUGCAUGGCCGUCGUCAGCUCGUGUCGUGAGAUGUUGGGUUAAGUCCCGUAACGAGCGCAACCCCUAUCCCUAGUUGCUAGCAGUUCGGCUGAGAACUCUAGGGAGACUGCCGGUGACAAACCGGAGGAAGGUGGGGAUGACGUCAGGUCAUCAUGGCCCUUACGGCCAGGGCUACACACGUGCUACAAUGGUGCGUACAGAGGGCUGCAAACCCGCGAGGGGGAGCUAAUCUCACAAAACGCAUCGUAGUCCGGAUCGGAGUCUGCAACUCGACUCCGUGAAGUCGGAAUCGCUAGUAAUCGCGAAUCAGAAUGUCGCGGUGAAUACGUUCCCGGGCCUUGUACACACCGCCCGUCACACCAUGGGAGUGGAUUGCACCAGAAGUGGUUAGUCUAACCUUCGGGAGGA
RNAcentral lists this ribosomal RNA (612 nucleotides) under uncultured bacterium. RNAcentral describes it as "bacterial SSU rRNA". It matches the Rfam family "Bacterial small subunit ribosomal RNA", at positions 838 to 1450 of the family's 1533-position model. The record is from RNAcentral.